AUUCCGCAAGGAUGAUGAACCAGUUAGAUGCGUGAAAGGGAAUUUCUUUCUGAGCUCAACAAUUGAGGCAUUUUAAUAUCCCUGACUUGCUGAUA
This is a small nucleolar RNA of Neltuma alba, 95 nucleotides long. RefSeq annotates it as small nucleolar RNA Z266. The transcript has a single exon. NCBI's taxonomy places the organism in Eukaryota, Viridiplantae, Streptophyta, Magnoliopsida, Fabales, Fabaceae. The record is from RefSeq and is a predicted model, not a curated record.